AUUUGUUUGUCCGUUUGACUUUUAAACAAUGUUCUAAAACAAGGUAUUCCUCGCCAAGUACUCGCUUCAUGGUGCCUGGCCUAGCAACUACCGAGUAGCAAGUUUUAGAACACUGCUUUUAAAUGGAUAAAAUUCCCUCUUUGCCCUUACUUUUUUGAAAUAAAGUAACUUUUCAAAAAAAUUGAAGGGUAAAUAUUGGAAAAUACACUACUUUUAGGUGUAAUCAUUAUGCUUCCUAAAUAAGUUGGAUUCCCAAUAUUAGACAAACAAAUUGGAUGGAGGGGAGUAUUAAAGAGCAGGAGAUGAGAGCAAAUGUAAGUAAAAAGCACAGUAAAUCGAUCAAAUAGAGGGCAAAGUUGAUUCUCUUAGGGUAAAACGAGUCCACAGCUACAUCAAUAGAGGGCAGAGCUUAUGGCCAGCCUAUUGGGGAAAGCAUUGCCAAAACAACUAAAGCUCUUACUUCUAAUCCAGUGUUGGCCGAUAGCAUGGAAAUGGCUGCUUUCAAAGAAUUGCACGUUGUCUGUCAAAUCUGCUUAAUAUGCUACAUCUAAAGAAUGGCAUGUUUUCUGUCAAAUAAUAACUUCCAAGAAGACAUUUCACAUGAAGAUGAAACAAUAUAAAGCAAUGUACAAUGCCUAGAUUAGGCAGCCAACUAGUCGGCAUCUAAUCCUCGCCUAGGCACUAGGCGCCCCUUUUUCCGCCCGAAUAGAGCCUAGCAAUAUUUAGAACACAGAUUUAAAGAAUGGCAUGCUGGUAAAAAUAAUUUUGAAGUUGAACGACAGGAAUAGGCAGCAGCCGUGUGCAAAUAGGAGGCUCUCUCAAAAGGUUUUUUUUACCACACAGA
This is a long non-coding RNA of Rhododendron vialii, 844 nucleotides long. RefSeq lists it as uncharacterized. The record is from RefSeq and is a predicted model, not a curated record. Lineage: Eukaryota; Viridiplantae; Streptophyta; Magnoliopsida; Ericales; Ericaceae. The transcript is spliced from 2 exons.